GUAGAGUACCAAUACCAAAUGUACCGGGGGCCCGGGGCACACCACAAGACGACACUAAUAAUGUCGCAACCCGCAAGCGGCUAAAUCGUCUGGCGCACUGGUGUGUGACGGGAUCAGGCCACCACGGGCCAGAUCGAGGGGCAAGAGAAGGAAAUCAAAAUCGAUGGGGCUGGAGCGUCCAAGGCGCAACAUACCGAGGUGGUGCUUGGUGCGUUCGACGAGCGAGCGGCGGUAGAGCGCGAGAACGCUAGCCAUGGUUGCCUCCCGCUCGCCGGUUUCCUCGUCGUCCGCGUCGGGCUCCUUCACGGCGAAGCAGGAGCGGAAAUGCAGAAAUAUCGAGAUUCCGGAUCCGGCCCGUGACAGCGACUGUCGGACACGCUGGCAGCACGGGAAUCUUCAGGGCCCACGGGGUGACGUCGCGACCGUCCUUCGAGGCCAACUAACCCCACCCACGUGGCGGCAGACGGACGGACGGGCAGAUCUUUCGGCGCCACGCCCACACUGAACAGUACACUACUCCAGCGCAGUGGCCUUUGCCCUUUGGCGCGCGCCAACUGGUGCAGUGCUGCUACUUUCUUCCCUUUGAAGACGCGCUGUAGGCUGUAGCUGUUGCUUUCUUCCGCUUGGCCUCAGCCCACGACUUCACCGGUUAAAAAUAUAUACAUAUAUUUCAUUUUUCUAAAGAUACUUCUACUAUGUUGAAUCUAUUCUCUUUUAGUAUAUCUCAGUAGUCUGAAUUUUAUGAUAA
Zea mays is the source of this 748-nucleotide long non-coding RNA. RefSeq lists it as uncharacterized. The record is from RefSeq and is a predicted model, not a curated record. The transcript is spliced from 2 exons. NCBI's taxonomy places the organism in Eukaryota, Viridiplantae, Streptophyta, Magnoliopsida, Poales, Poaceae.